AAUGAACGCUGGCGGCGCGCCUAAUACAUGCAAGUCGAGCGAGAAGACGUAGCAAUACGUUUGUAAAGCGGCGAACGGGUGAGGAAUACAUGGGUAACCUACCCUCGAGUGGGGAAUAACUAGCCGAAAGGUUAGCUAAUACCGCGUACGCUUCUUGGACUUCGGUUCAGGGAGGAAAGCGAUACCGUGGGUAUCGCGCUCUUGGAUGGGCUCAUGUCCUAUCAGCUUGUUGGUGAGGUAACGGCUCACCAAGGCUUCGACGGGUAGCUGGUCUGAGAGGACGAUCAGCCACACUGGCACUGCGACACGGGCCAGACUCCUACGGGAGGCAGCAGUAGGGAAUCUUGCGCAAUGGGC
This 357-nucleotide ribosomal RNA is filed under the name uncultured bacterium. RNAcentral describes it as "bacterial SSU rRNA". It matches the Rfam family "Bacterial small subunit ribosomal RNA", at positions 29 to 376 of the family's 1533-position model. The record is from RNAcentral.